GGAUAUGAGGGCGAUCAGGCUGCCAUCUGUCACCCUAUUGAUUGCCUGGGUUGAUUCGGCUGAUCUGGCUGGCUAGGCGGGUGUUCCCUUCCUCCCUCACGUUCAUCCCUCCAGAAGCUGUGUUGAAGAGGACUGCCUUCCCCAAACAGAGGAGGACUGGUCUUCAGUCAGGGUAUAUAAGUAGCUGUGCUUUCCCUCCAAUAACUUCCAAAAAGCUCUCAAGAAGACGUUGGACAACAGAAAGACAACUAUUGCAUGGUCUCACUUAUAUCUGGAAUCUAAAAAAGUUUAUCUUGUUUUUC
Molecule: small nuclear RNA, 302 nt
Filed under: Neotoma lepida (desert woodrat)
Lineage: Eukaryota; Metazoa; Chordata; Mammalia; Rodentia; Cricetidae
Description: 7SK RNA
Rfam family: 7SK RNA
About the family: 7SK was discovered as an abundant small nuclear RNA in the mid-70s but a possible function has only recently been suggested. Two independent studies have found that 7SK RNA binds the CDK9/cyclin T complex (known as elongation factor P-TEFb).
Source: Rfam by way of RNAcentral